This is a long non-coding RNA of Frieseomelitta varia, 862 nucleotides long. RefSeq lists it as uncharacterized. The transcript has 2 exons. Lineage: Eukaryota; Metazoa; Arthropoda; Insecta; Hymenoptera; Apidae. The record is from RefSeq and is a predicted model, not a curated record.
AUUCUUCUUCUUAUAUUUAAUUAAUUAAAUAACAAUGUGCUUACAGUGGAGCUUGUACAUUAUUAACUUUCAAUUAUUGCAAAUGUUAUGACACAUCUACAAUUUUUUGAUAGUUUAUCUAAUGAUCUUAAUGUAUUCGAAUCAAAAAAUGUAAAUUUUGUACCAAACAGAGUCUUACAUUUAAUAGAAACAAUGAAACAUUGUUAUUGUUUAUUAAUGUACUGUAUGUUUCAUUAUACUGAUAUAUUAAUUGAAAUAAAUUUGUAUCUUAUAUUCUAAACUAGAUUAUUUAACAUUUAUUAUAAUGUCAUUUAAUUUAAUUAAGUUGAAUAUAUUAAGAAUAUACAAUAACAUAUGUUAUUGAACAUAUAGAGUACAUGCAAUGAACUGCAAAAUUAUUAUUAAAAAUUAAAUUUUCAAUUAGCUAUUUAGAAAACUCAAAUUGGCUUAAGAUAAACUAUCUUGUUAGUUAGUUUAGUUUUCAAUGGUGUUAGAAUUUGAAAUAUCAGAUUGUUGAAUACAAGACAUGUGAUUUGAGUCCAACUUGUCUGAAAUAGAUGAAAGAAGAAAAUAUUAUAGCAGAUUCUUUUUAAAAUACAUUCUUGGUGUGUUGAAUAAAUUGAAGUUAUAAGUUGAACAAGUUGAAGAUGGAUCAUUUUAUUGUUUUAGGCUUAUAAAGAAGUGCAGUGAGCAUAUAUAUUUCCUCUGCUGUAAAUUCAUCCAUUUCUAAAAGUUAAUUUUAUCUCUGAAGGACAAUUCCUCUCUUACAUUCUGUCCAUACUAAUUCCACUCGAAAAUAAAAAUGUAAAAUUGUAAAAUAAAUAGUGGUAUACGAUUACAUUAAUAAAAAGUGUAACAUAUA